Long non-coding RNA from Amphibalanus amphitrite, 500 nucleotides. RefSeq lists it as uncharacterized. The transcript is spliced from 2 exons. The record is from RefSeq and is a predicted model, not a curated record. NCBI's taxonomy places the organism in Eukaryota, Metazoa, Arthropoda, Thecostraca, Balanomorpha, Balanidae.
GCACUGCGGCGCAAUGACUCGGCGGCCUUCGUGACUGUAUAUAGUACCGAGGACCGUGUGGUACACCAAAUAGUCGGUAUCUCAUUGCCGCCAAAGGGAGCAGUGGGGAAACAUCGACAAAUACAGGGUGACAGCUAUGAGGCUUUUCUAUUGGCUACUGAUACUGGCUCUUCUCGGUGCCCUGUGCCUGGAGGGCGCCGAGGCCCGUCGGCGGUGCCACCGCCGGUGUCCGCGCGGCUGGCGCCACUGCUACUCCCGCUCCUCAAAGUACUACUGCUGCAAGAGGAGGUACCGCGGACGCUGGACCUACCGCUGGAGAAACUGCUACUGGAGAGGCUGAAAGGCUGUUAUAUCAUAGAGACCCGGUCACGGGUCAGCACGGUUAUCAUGGAAUUUGGAAACGACGCCGGCACGGACACGGGACAGAGCACCUCGGCCCAGAGGAAGCGGAACGGUUUGAUGCAAGUUUUGCACUUUAUUGGCAAUUUUGCACGUUUUGG